This 274-nucleotide ribosomal RNA is filed under the name uncultured Lachnospiraceae bacterium. RNAcentral describes it as "partial 16S ribosomal RNA". It matches the Rfam family "Bacterial small subunit ribosomal RNA", at positions 66 to 339 of the family's 1533-position model. Lineage: Bacteria; Bacillati; Bacillota; Clostridia; Lachnospirales; Lachnospiraceae. The record is from RNAcentral.
AUUUCUUCGGAAUGAAGAUUUUGUGACUGAGUGGCGGACGGGUGAGUAACGCGUGGGUAACCUGCCUCAUACAGGGGGAUAACAGUUGGAAACGACUGCUAAUACCGCAUAAGCGCACGGUGUCGCAUGACACAGUGUGAAAAACUCCGGUGGUAUGAGAUGGACCCGCGUCUGAUUAGCUAGUUGGUGAGGUAACGGCCCACCAAGGCGACGAUCAGUAGCCGACCUGAGAGGUUGAACGGCCACAUUGGGACUGAGAUACGGCCCAGACUCC